This 459-nucleotide ribosomal RNA is filed under the name uncultured bacterium. RNAcentral describes it as "partial 16S ribosomal RNA". It matches the Rfam family "Bacterial small subunit ribosomal RNA", at positions 339 to 795 of the family's 1533-position model. The record is from RNAcentral.
CUACGGGUCGCUCCAGUGAGGAAUAUUGGACAAUGGUCGAAAGACUGAUCCAGCCAUGCCGCGUGCAGGAUGACUGCCCUAUGGGUUGUAAACUGCUUUUAUACGGGAAGAAAAACACCUACGUGUAGGUGACUGACGGUACCGUAAGAAUAAGGACCGGCUAACUCCGUGCCAGCAGCCGCGGUAAUACGGAGGGUCCAAGCGUUAUCCGGAAUCAUUGGGUUUAAAGGGUCCGUAGGCGGGCUAUUAAGCCAGAGGUGAAAGUUUGCAGCUCAACUGUAAAAUUGCCUUUGAUACUGAUAGUCUUGAAUUGUAGUGAAGUGGUUAGAAUAUGUGGUGUAGCGGUGAAAUGCAUAGAUAUCACAUAGAAUACCGAUUGCGAAGGCAGAUCACUAACUAUAUAUUGACGCUGAGGGACGAAAGCGUGGGGAGCGAACGGGAUUAGAUACCCUCGUAGUC